This 253-nucleotide ribosomal RNA is filed under the name uncultured bacterium. RNAcentral's name for it is "partial 16S ribosomal RNA". It matches the Rfam family "Bacterial small subunit ribosomal RNA", at positions 524 to 776 of the family's 1533-position model. The record is from RNAcentral.
UCCGAAGGGGGCUAGCGUUGCUCGGAAUCACUGGGCGUAAAGCGCACGUAGGCGGAUCGUUAAGUCAGGGGUGAAAUCCUGGAGCUCAACUCCAGAACUGCCUUUGAUACUGGCGAUCUUGAGUUCGGGAGAGGUGAGUGGAACUGCGAGUGUAGAGGUGAAAUUCGUAGAUAUUCGCAAGAACACCAGUGGCGAAGGCGGCUCACUGGCCCGAUACUGACGCUGAGGUGCGAAAGCGUGGGGAGCAAACAGG